GACUGGUCCAAAGGUAGUGAGUUACCUCAAUUGUUCACAGUCAGUUAUAAAUACAAUUUCUUGUUCUGUUCUUUUCCCUUUCUCACUACUGCACUCAACUAGUCUUAA
Molecule: Y RNA, 108 nt
Filed under: Carlito syrichta (Philippine tarsier)
Lineage: Eukaryota; Metazoa; Chordata; Mammalia; Primates; Tarsiidae
Description: Y RNA (ENSTSYG00000029302.1)
Rfam family: Y RNA
About the family: Y RNAs are components of the Ro ribonucleoprotein particle (Ro RNP), in association with Ro60 and La proteins.
Source: Rfam by way of RNAcentral